Molecule: ribosomal RNA, 406 nt
Filed under: uncultured bacterium
Lineage: Bacteria
Description: partial 16S ribosomal RNA
Rfam family: Bacterial small subunit ribosomal RNA
Source: RNAcentral
AUUGAACGCUGGCGGCAGGCCUAACACAUGCAAGUCGAACGAGUGGCGGACGGGUGAGUAAUGUCUGGGAAACUGCCUGAUGGAGGGGGAUAACUACUGGAAACGGUAGCUAAUACCGCAUACCAUCGGAUGUGCCGAGAUGGGAUUAGCUAGUUGGUGGGGUAAAGGCUCACCUAGGAGACGAUCCCUAGAUGGUCUGAGAGGAUGACCAGCCAAACGGGAACUGAGGAACGGUCCAGACUCCUACGAGAGGAAGGAGUGGGGAAUAUUGCACAAUGGGAGCAUGCCUGAUACAGCCAUGCCGCUUGUGUGAGGAGGGCCUUCAGGUUUUAAAGCUCUUUCAGCGAGGAGGCGUUACUCGCAGAAGAAGCACCGGCUAACUCCGUGCCAGCAGCCGCGGUAAUAC